CGGGAGGCAGCAGUGGGGAAUAUUGCACAAUGGGCGCAAGCCUGAUGCAGCCAUGCCGCGUGUAUGAAGAAGGCCUUCGGGUUGUAAAGUACUUUCAGUCGUGAGGAAGGGGGUAUCGUUAAUAGCGGUAUUCUUUGACGUUAGCGACAGAAGAAGCACCGGCUAACUCCGUGCCAGCAGCCGCGGUAAUACGGAGGGUGCGAGCGUUAAUCGGAAUUACUGGGCGUAAAGCGCAUGCAGGUGGUUUGUUAAGUCAGAUGUGAAAGCCCGGGGCUCAACCUCGGAGUUGCAUUUGAAACUGGCAGGCUAGAGUACUGUAGAGGGGGGUAGAAUUUCAGGUGUAGCGGUGAAAUGCGUAGAGAUCUGAAGGAAUACCGGUGGCGAAGGCGGCCCCCUGGACAGAUACUGACACUCAGAUGCGAAAGCGUGGGGAGCAAACAGGAUUAGAUACCC
This 453-nucleotide ribosomal RNA is filed under the name Vibrio sp. Vpar67. RNAcentral describes it as "bacterial SSU rRNA". It matches the Rfam family "Bacterial small subunit ribosomal RNA", at positions 342 to 787 of the family's 1533-position model. Lineage: Bacteria; Pseudomonadati; Pseudomonadota; Gammaproteobacteria; Vibrionales; Vibrionaceae. The record is from RNAcentral.